RNAcentral lists this transfer RNA (70 nucleotides) under Yimella lutea. Its description in RNAcentral is "tRNA-Glu". It matches the Rfam family "tRNA". Rfam says of the family: Transfer RNA (tRNA) molecules are approximately 80 nucleotides in length. Their secondary structure includes four short double-helical elements and three loops (D, anti-codon, and T loops). Further hydrogen bonds mediate the characteristic L-shaped molecular structure. tRNAs have two regions of fundamental functional importance: the anti-codon, which is responsible for specific mRNA codon recognition, and the 3' end, to which the tRNAs corresponding amino acid is attached (by aminoacyl-tRNA synthetases). tRNAs cope with the degeneracy of the genetic code in two manners: having more than one tRNA (with a specific anti-codon) for a particular amino acid; and 'wobble' base-pairing, i.e. permitting non-standard base-pairing at the 3rd anti-codon position. Lineage: Bacteria; Bacillati; Actinomycetota; Actinomycetes; Micrococcales; Dermacoccaceae. The record is from RNAcentral.
CCCCUCAUGAGGUAAUGGAAGCCUGCCGGAUUCUCGAUCCGGUCGCGCGGGUUCAACCCCGCUGAGGGUC